RNAcentral lists this ribosomal RNA (414 nucleotides) under uncultured cyanobacterium. RNAcentral describes it as "bacterial SSU rRNA". It matches the Rfam family "Bacterial small subunit ribosomal RNA", at positions 9 to 448 of the family's 1533-position model. Lineage: Bacteria; Bacillati; Cyanobacteriota. The record is from RNAcentral.
GAGUUUGAUCCUGGCUCAGGAUGAACGCUGGCGGUAUGCUUAAUACAUGCAAGUCGUACGAGAGCUUUUAGCUCUAGUGGCGGACGGGUGAGUAACACGUGAGAAUCUGCCCUUAGGAGGAGGAUAACAGCUGGAAACGGUUGCUUAAUACUCCAUAUGCCGAGAGGUAAAAGGAUUUAUCCACCUAAGGAGGAGCUCGCGUCUGAUUAGCUAGUUGGUAGGGUAAUAGCCUACCAAGGCGACGAUCAGUAGCUGGUUUGAGAGGAUGAUCAGCCACACUGGGACUGAGACACGGCCCAGACUCCUACGGGAGGCAGCAGUAGGGAAUUUUCCGCAAUGGGCGAAAGCCUGACGGAGCAAUACCGCGUGAGGGAUGACGGCCUGUGGGUUGUAAGCCUCUUUUCUCAAGGAAGA